GAACCUGCGGAGGGAUCAUUACAGAGUUGCAAAACUCCCUAAACCAUUGUGAACGUUACCUAAACCGUUGCUUCGGCGGGCGGCCCGGGUCCUUCCCGGCGCCCCUCGGCCCUCGCGGGCGCCCGCCGGAGGUAAACCAAACUAUUGCAUUGUAUGGCCUCUCUGAGUCUUCUGUACUGAAUAAGUCAAAACUUUCAACAACGGAUCUCUUGGUUCUGGCAUCGAUGAAGAACGCAGCGAAAUGCGAUAAGUAAUGUGAAUUGCAGAAUUCAGUGAAUCAUCGAAUCUUUGAACGCACAUUGCGCCCGCCAGUAUUCUGGCGGGCAUGCCUGUUCGAGCGUCAUUUCAACCAUCAAGCCCCGGGCUUGUGUUGGGGACCUGCGGCUGCCGCAGGCCCUGAAAUGCAGUGGCGGGCUCGCUGUCACUCCGAGCGUAGUAGUUACAUCUCGCUCUGGGCGUGCUGCGGGUUCCGGCCGUUAAAAGCCUUAUUUACCCAAGGUUGACCUCGGAUCAGGUAGGAAGACCCGCUGAACUUAAGCAUAUCAAU
RNAcentral lists this ribosomal RNA (547 nucleotides) under Humicola sp. PWQ2623. RNAcentral describes it as "eukaryotic LSU rRNA". The stretch from base 190 to 343 matches the Rfam family "5.8S ribosomal RNA". The record is from RNAcentral. Lineage: Eukaryota; Fungi; Ascomycota; Sordariomycetes; Sordariales; Chaetomiaceae.